AAGCCAAGAACUGUCGGGCGGAAGUAAGGGGGCAGCCAGUCCCAGGCAGCGGCCCGAGAUGGGGACAGGGAAACCUACUAGAAGUCGCCGCCGAGCCAGGAGGGGACGCCGGGCCUCGAUCUGGGCACCGCGGGGCUGUGUCACCCGAGCCCCACUCACCUGUCCAGGGUCUCCAUGCUGGGGUGUCGGGAACUGCCGGAAGCGCCCCCCGCAACACGAGCGGGUCUCCAGCUGGCGCCCGGUCCCGGCCCGGGGCCCGCAGCGCUUUCGCAGCCCGACGCCGCCGCUCCCGGCCUGUCCAUCACGCGUCAGGUCCGGCGGCUCCCGUGACCCCCGAUCUCCCCGACUGCGCCCCUUCCGCCCCGCUCCGACGAUCGACCACCCGCGUCAGGCGGCCG
This 398-nucleotide long non-coding RNA is filed under the name Rattus norvegicus (Norway rat). RNAcentral's name for it is "long non-coding RNA NONRATT013189". The record is from RNAcentral. Lineage: Eukaryota; Metazoa; Chordata; Mammalia; Rodentia; Muridae.